Molecule: long non-coding RNA, 1896 nt
Organism: Homo sapiens (human)
Lineage: Eukaryota; Metazoa; Chordata; Mammalia; Primates; Hominidae
Gene: PCAT19
Product: prostate cancer associated transcript 19
Exons: 4
Source: RefSeq, marked validated
CUUUUCUUUGUUCUCCCGGGUCAAGUUGUUUGCCUAGUCAGUCCCAAUGUGAGAACCUGAAUAUUUCAGUUGACGCGCUGACUUCAAAAUCCCCGGGCUUCGGGAGGCGGAGCUUGCAGUGAGCCGAGAUCCCGCCACUGCACUCCAGCCUGGGCGACAGAGCGAGACUCCGUCUCAAAAAAAAAAAAAAAAAAAAAAAAAUCCCCGGGCUUUUCUUUUCACUCAGUGGAAGGCAGCUGCUUCUAAUUGGCCAUCUUGGCCCGCCCCCACCACGUGACCUUCUGUAAAAUGCCUCCACUCUCCAGGAACGCUCUCAUUAUAUAACUUUGCCUGAAACCAACAGCACGCUCAUUGCACAUAUCAUGGGCUCAUUUAUUUCACUUAUAAAGAACCUGGCCAAGGAAGAGAUAGUGCCUAAAGUGGCCAGUAUUCUGACCGAUAUGUUAGAAAAAUGGUGUGCCGACCAAUUCAUGACAUGUGUCCCAAAACUAGCAACGGAAAUUGUAUUCGCCGUGUUGAGGUCUCUAAUCCAGAUGAUGCUCAUCUAUGUACUGGAAAAGGCAGAGUCCUUUCCUGACAAGCUGCUGAAACUCUUCAGAAACAUCUCAUAUUUCCUGAAGAAGAUGAUGUCUGGACAAGCAGCACAGGAGGAAGAGGGUAAUCCGGAUGAGUUUUCUGACCUACUCGGCGGCUGUGAUUAAACAACCACCAGGAAAUUUUGACGACACUGUUCUCCUGAGCUCCUCCCUUUCCUCCGGGAACAAAACAAUUGAAUUUACAAAAAUAAAGUGUUAUUUGACUGGAGUGAGGUCUCAUGUCUGCUUAUGCGGUGGCUCGCUGCUCAGAACAGGAUGGCAGAGAUGAGCACCACCAUCAAAAACUCAAGGACCAGUGCUGUGGGUCCAGUCAUCUGUUUCAUGGAAUUCACCAGUCUGGUAUCUUCAAAAUCCAGAAGGAUGAUGGCAGAUGGCAGGAAGGUAAUGCAAACGUCAUCAGGUGUGACCCCACUGUAGCAGCUGUGAUGGAUGUUUUCUCUCACCAUAGCAAUAAAUAACACAACCUCGGUCACACUGUAUGCAUUGUUGGUCUGCAAAAUCCAUGUUUUGCAAAACUCUUCAGGAAGGUGGAUCUGUAAUAUUGGCAUUGACAUGAGAACAACAGCAGUAUUUAUUCACAAUCUCAAGCUCUCUGUCUUCCCGUCUCUCUCAUUAGCCAUCCAAGUAGUCCUGAGGAACCAAGCCCAUCAGAACAUUCUGCAACAUAAUACACAGCUCCAUUCUCCAUUCAAAUUUUGUUGUUGUUGUUGUUGUUGAUGAGACAACAUCUUACUCCAUCAGCCAGGCUGACGUACAGUGGGGCUAUCUGGGCUGACUGUAGUCUUGAGCUUCCAGGCUCAAGGCAUCCUCUCACCUCAGCCUCCUAAGUGGCUUGAACUACAGACACACAGCGACAUGCUGGGCUAGUUUUUGUAUAUUUUGUAGAGACGUGCUCUCACCAUGUUAUUCAGGCUGGACUCAAACUCCUGAGCGUAAGUGAUCCAAGCACCUUGGCCUCAAAGUGCUGAGAUUACAAGCCUGAGCCACUGCACCCAGCCCAAUCUCCAUUCUACUGAUAACAAUGUCAUUACCAGGUCUGAUGGACAGGAAAUGGUAAGGUUUCUGAAAACCUAAGGAUCACACAGCGAGUUCCAAAGGCUGAAAGUGCAUACCUGUCGACACUGAUACCAAUGACAUCCAAUGGAGGAAGAGGGUAAUCUGGAAGAGUUUCCUGACCUACUCUGCUGCUGUGAUUAAACAACCACCAGGAAAUUUUGAUGACACUGUUCUCCUGAGCUCCUCCCUUUCCUCGGGGAAGAAAAGCAUUGAAACUACAAAAAUAAAGUGUUAUUUGGCUGGA